This is a long non-coding RNA of Ostrea edulis (European flat oyster), 10960 nucleotides long. RefSeq lists it as uncharacterized. The transcript has 9 exons. Lineage: Eukaryota; Metazoa; Mollusca; Bivalvia; Ostreida; Ostreidae. The record is from RefSeq and is a predicted model, not a curated record.
GUAUUUCUUGUACUGGGAUCGUUAAUUUGUUGGCGAUGGACACGCAUCCUGGCUGUUAGUUUGUCCAAUAUAUUCCUCGCCACACCCGUUGCAAAUAAUGCAGUAUAGUAAGUUUUUCGACUUGCAUGAUAUGUUAUCAUUUACAGUAAAAUAUUUUCCGCAUUUAAAAGUAAUAGAAGGUACUGUUUUUAGGAAGGGACAUGUACCACACCUUGAGUCACCACAUGUAGAAACUGCGUAUUUUUCAGGCGUUGAAUUGAAUUUGGCUUUUGUUAAUAUUUUUUUCAAGUUAGAUGGUUGUCUUUGGCUGUGAAGUAGGUCGGAUUUGGGAAUAAUUUUUUGAAGUUCUAAAUCACGCUUGAUAACUGUAAAAUUCUUCUUAGCUUCCUGAAAGAUAUUUAUAUGUUUUGGGUUGUAAGUUGUCAUAAAUGGUAUUAGGAAAGGAUCGUGUUCUUUUUCUCUUGUUGUUCUAAGUGUAUGCUGUGGAAUUUUCUUUGCUUCAUUUAUCGCUGAAAGAAUGAGUGUUUCCGGAUAAUUCUGCGCAGUAAGAAAUAUUUUCAAUUUCGCCAGUCUUUGGUCUUUAGUAUUUUCAUCUUUAACAAUAGUGUAAAUCCUUCUGGCCAAAUUGUACGGUUUUAUAUUUUGGGAAAAAUCCGAAGAAGACCUGAUCAAGUUUCACAAUUUGUUGAAUACGCUCAAUCCAAAUAUCCAGUUUACCAUGGAAUACAGUGAUACUUCGAUUCCUUUUUUGGACAUCAAGGUGAUAAAACAUGAAACCAACAUCCUAACUGAUAUAUUUUACAAAACAAAAAACAACAAAAAACGGACACACACCAAUAUUUGAAUUUCAAACCAUGUCAUCCUACACACACUAAAAGGAAUAUCCCGACAAAAUAGCAUGGCGCUUUCCCCGCGAUACAACCAUCAGAACAUGUACAUGUACGCUGUGACGUACUUUUACAUUUUGACGUCAUAUGGUGCGAAGUGCACAGAGGUACAUUUAUAACAGCACCGUGAUUUUGCGUUCAACAUUUGAUGAAUCAAUUUAGCUACUUCAAUGCAAAUUGCCUUAUAAUCAUGGACGGAUGUGGGAUUCAGUUUAGAGAGGAUUAGAAAAAAUCUGAGACGAGGGGGCGGGUGACAGCUUUUAGGUGCUCGAUGGGAAUAAUUUGUUAAUCGGGGAUGGACGCAUAUAUUUUGUGCUUAUAUCCAUUGAUUUAUUAUCAUAUAUCGUGAUUCAAUUUCUUCACGAUGAAAUAAAUUAAUAUUUACAUCAGUCUUCAUGAUAACUUUUCUGAGACGCUAUUCAUACUAACUAGCUAAUUGAAUAGAUUUAUUUGCUCGUUGUCCUUAUGAAUUUGUUUGCUAGUCCGUAAAUAAAAACACACAUGUAACAGAAACAUCAGACACGAUUUAUAUGGAUGCAUCUAUAACACAGGGACAUGUAUUAAAAAAUUGAGAUUGUUAACAAACACAAAUCAGACUUUUAAAAAUAAAAAAAUAAAUUGUCAUCGAUUUUUUUCAAUCCAAACACUUUAUUGAUCGAAAAUUUUCCCCUAGCUAUACCAGCUAGUGCUGAGACAAUUUCUAGACGCGAGUAGUCUCGGGGAGUCGGCUAGUUCAUCUGCACGAGCUUUAAUGGAGAGUGCUACAUUGUACAUGUAUAAAUUUAUUAUGAACAUAUUUUGUCAGUAUCAAUGUUUUCUCUGAACGUCCUCGAUAUACAUGUUCUAAUACUUGUAAGUGGUGUACGUUUUACGAUAUUUUGACACACACCUGUUGAUUUUGAAUAAAUGUUGUAAGUUUUGCUGCAUUUGUAACCGGACACAUUCAACAUUGAAUCCUAAAGUGGCAUGCAAACGUUGAGAUUAAACAUUCAAUUUCAAUACAUAGGAUGUUUUUGGUAUUAAAGAAAAAAAAUUACAUUGAAGAGAUUGACGGUAUAUAAGUUACACAUUGAAGAAAUCGACGUUAUAUAUUUGUAUGCAUCUAUUUCAUCAAAUAUUUUAAUUUAAAUUGUACUCUGACAAAAGGACACAUAGAUGUAUAUGCAAGGUGAAGAUAACGAACAGUGAUCAAUCUCAUAACUCCUAUAAGCAAUACAAAAUAGAUAGUUGGGCCAUAUAUAAGAUGGAUCAUUACUCGUUAUCUUCACUUUUCCAUCAAUGAUAUGGAAGGUGAAGAUAACGAACACUGGUGAAUCUCAUAACUCUUUAAGGAAUACAAAAUAGAGAGUUGGGCAAAGAUGAACCCCUGGAUAUACGAUCGGUGGGACCAGGUGUCUAGGAGGAGUAAGCAUUCCCUGGCGACCGGUCAAACCCGCCAUGAGUCCUAUAGCUUGAUAUAUUGAAUGCUUAACACUGUUUCCAUCCAAUUGAGACAUUAUAUGGUGUUGUGAAUAGUACAGUCAACGAUAAGAGAAUGGAAGGUAUAACAUAAUCCAAUCAUAUGAUAGCUCAUUUUGUUCAUGUAUGCAUACUGAAAGAUUUUACAUAGGUUGUAAGAAAGUGGUGCUUAUACACGUGGUUUUCUCUAUUUUUCCUUUCAAAGUUUUUGACAAAUUGGAACAAAGUUAGUAAGAUGUGUAUUGUGUAAACAGAUCAACAACUCCCAUGAUAGAAUGAUUUGUAUAACUCAUUGAAUCUAUAAUGACGAUUAUUGUUUAUUUACCAUUCAUUAUACAGUACAAUCAAUAUCUAGUUAAAUUGUAUGAAGUUUUGAUUUUCAAAAAUCCAAUUUACAAACGGAUAUUAUCUUUAAUAUUUACUACAGUUGGUAUUCAAUCUAUUUUUAAUAGUGCUAAUUUCACUUUCAUUUGGGAAAUAAAUACAUGAUCAUAUUAGGAUUUUUUUUAAUCCAAAAGACUCUGUAUCAUAAUAGCAUGUUCGACAUAUGAAUUUUAUAUCCCUUUGAAGUGAACCAGAAAAUGUAGACUGAUAUUCACGCAAUCGAUUGACAGAUAUGUUUCAAUGAGAUUAUUCUGAGCAUAAAAGGCCAAUAUUUGCAGAUUUGUAUAGUGCAUAUAGUUAAGUUUUUUACUUCUUAACUUCGUAUUUCUGAUAGGAGCUACGAUAUUACUUAUUGUUUAUUUAUCGUCACCGUUUCCUCAUUGUACAGUAUUAAUUAUCAAAAAAUAUUAAAGGGGAAAGCCGGCGCUCUAAAUUCUCGGCAGAGAAAAUAAGUGCUUUGUCAUUAGGGAGGAAGGAUAGACCAUGCUUAAACAAAUACACAGGAAUGGGAGCACUCUGAAUGAUCAAAAUAAUGAACUCGGUACUGUACCACUGCAACUUCCGGAGAGAAAGAAAAACAGCGUGGGUACUUAUUGAAUAUCCCUACUAGAAUCUUUACAAGGCUAUUUAUCAUUUCAUAAUUCAAAUUCAAAACAAUAAAAUCCAUGUAUCACUCGCUUUCUGUUAAGUGAAGGAGAAGAAAGAAAUUUUAUAGAAAAAAAUUAAGGAAGUAGACCAAUAUGAGAAUAUAUUCAAAACCAGGUUUUCUCAUGUCAAAUGUUACUGUUUGGUAUCGUUUUAAUUAUAUAAAUACAUUGAAAACAAUAUAAUGCAUAUUAUAAAAAAACUGGGUUUUUUUUUUAAAUAAAUAACUACAGCAUUUAUUUUACCCCGACCAGUUUUCACACCUCCUGAAAGGAAACCAAUAACCACAGCAUUUAUCGGGACUACUUAAUACUGAUUGUAUUUUCUCAGUAUUUAUCAACAAAUAUCAAAAUCCACAGUACAAAUGACAAUAAGAAUCAACAUGUCACUGUACCAAUAAAAUAUCAAUAACAACAGUGAAAACACCAUUAAUCAGAAUGCAUCAGUACUGACAGAAGAAUAACAGUGAUUAUCAACAUUUAUCAGUAAAACAUAUCAUUCUCGGUGCAUUUUCCGUACAGCAUUUGAAAAAAAAAAAAAAAAAUCCACGUAGACAUAACUGUUUCCUGUUCUGCCAUUAUCGUAAACUCCUCUGUAAUGUUAGAAUUAUGACAUCUAAGUAGUCAUUACAGUACUUAAAAAUGUAUUCCUUUAGUGAAGAGAGUGUGUAUUCUUUCAAUUGUAUAGAUGCAAAAUAUCACAUCUCUAUCUGAUUAUCUAUGGGAAGAGCCCACACUUCAAGAAUAUUGACAUAGUAUUUAAUAAUGCAGGUGUGAAAUUGCUGUAUAUACAACCUUAUGACAGCAUACAACGUCCAUAACUGUUGAUCAUUUUAACUUUUAUAUCCCUAUCCUUGCUUUGUGAUGAUGUUCACUAAAUUUUAUGAAUCUUUUAUUUGUCUAUUGCUGACAAGUUAACAAUAAGACAUAAAAUAAGCUGGUAUAUUCAAGGGUCCGUGGUUAUCCACCUCUCUAUUUUGUAUUGUCUAUAGGAGUUAUGAGAUUGAUCAAAGCUUGUUAUCUUCACCUUUGUAAACUAUGAAAUACUUUUCAUUUGCUUCUCUCUUUUUUUUUGAUUAGUUGUAACAUAUUGAUUAUCAUGCACAAUCUUCAGUUGCCUUUGCAGAUGUUAAAACACAUAUGCGUACGUGGGAUAAUGCACGAAAGGUAAAUAUAACGAUCAGUGAUCAAUCUCAAAAUUCUCAUAAGAAAUACAAAAUAGAGAGUUUGGCAAAAACGGACCCAUGGGUAUACCAGAGGUGGAAACAGGUGACCAGGAAGAGUGAGAACUCCAUGUCAUCCCGUCACACAUGCUGUGAGUCAUAUGUCUUGAUCAGGUAAACAGAGUAAUCAGUAGUCAAAUCAGAGUGCCAAAACGGUCUUACAAUGAAUAUGAAGGAAGUCAAACAUCAUUUGACCCAAUGAUAUGGUGUAUUGGAAAACUACAUAUAAAUGUAGAUCAUAAUAGCUACCAUAUAAGUUGCGAAAUGCUGACUUUAAACGGAACUGUUUAAACCCCUGUAACAUUAACUUGUUUGACAUCAGCCUGUCUUUUAACAAAACAAUGAAAUAUUAAUAUGUGUUAAAGUCACUACUUGUUCAUUCUUUCUACAAUAAAAUUCCUUAGUGUUACUGCUUCCCUUCUUUCUUUUUUAUUCUUUGAAUGAUCUAUUUGACUGCUCUUUCUUAAAAAUAUUUCUACCUUUGCUUUUGUUCAAAAUUUUAUCACUAAAUUAUCACUAUGGUGUUUCCAUAAAAUGCCAUAGAUUUCAAAACAUACCAUUUGUUAUGUAAAAUGUAAUUUAAUAAUGUGUAGAACUAGAACACAAACAGGAUCUAAAAAUUAAGAGGAUGUCGGGAUGUAUUACUGAUUAAGGUAGAAAGAACGAAUAUUGUGUCCAAUGCUAUCUCAUGUGCUAUGACACUCUUAAUUUUUCAAUCAUUACUUGUUUGCGCAUAAUCUACAUCAAUUUUUUUAUUGACAUUUCCAGAUAUCCCUGUUUGUAAAUCUGUAAUUUUCCAAAACCAUUUUUCUGUAAGAUGUUUAUUUGAUUAUCUGAUAGAUCAAUCUGGAUCCAUUAAGCAUUUUAUAUUUCAAAUUGUAUUACAUAUCAUGAAACAAAGCUCCGCUAUUUAUAGAAGAGUGUUAAAGGACACAACGCAUGUUUCUAAACUUUUUCAUUUUUUCAGCAAAAUUAAUUCUUCUUAUGCCUAAAACUUCUUGCAUGUAAUUUUGUAUACUUUGAAAACAUGAGAUGUGUCCUUUAAUCAUCAUGGUGAUAUGUAGAUAUCUGAUAUUUUGCUCGUAUUUCAAAACAUCCGACCAGUCGCGGUAUCUCAUUAGUACUUGGGCGAGUCAAUAGGUAACCAGCCCAUUCCAUUACCGAUUGAUCGAGACGGUCACGAUUUUCAUGCCUUGUUUUAAUAUAUGUUUUAUACCUGGGUACAAAAUUGCACGCGUAUCGAGUCAUUCUUUAAUAAGAUAUUGAAUGUCAAACAUGGCUAGAGAUGUAAAGGCAUGCCUUUCAUCUAAAGUUGAAUACCGUGUUAUAAUUCGGUACUUGCAUUUAAAAGGUAAAACAUGCAAGGAAAUACAUGGCGAGUUAGCCGAUGGUUAUGGGUCUUCUGCACCAUCUUAUGCUCAGGUUAAAUUCUGGAUAGGGGAAUUCAAACGCAGUAGAACGUCUUUAGCAGAUGAAGUCAGGUCUGAACGCCCACUGGAUGCCACCGGCGAAGAAAUGUGUAAGAAAGUUCGGGAUAUAAGCAGAUCGGGACGUGCAGGGGUUGGCAUGUUAAAGAGUCCUCACUGUUACGACUUUAGCGUUAGGUAUAGUUCUGAAUUAAUAGUGCUUCAACUUUAGCUGGUGACGUUUCAACAUAAGUUAAAUUCUCGACGGGACGUAAAACAAUCAGCCUUCUAACCAACUAACCGUCUAUGUUUCAAGUUUCAACAUUUCAUUGUUAACUUUGAUUAUGAAUUAUCAAUUUGGCAAACAAGUAAUACUAGUAAUCGCAACACUUCAUUUGAAUGAUAUGACCAGAACAAUCAAUGAAUUAUCUGUUUCUCAAACUCUAUUAAAAUAUUUUAGUACUUCAAAUAAAAUCGAUACUGCUUUGUUGAAUUAAUAAAUUUGCAGGCAUUUAAUUUUGCUAAGUGAAACAUUCUAAGUGGUUUGCUCCUUUCUCCAUUGAACUUUUUGCAUAGAUUGUGAACACUUUCAAUGUUUGUCGUACAGACUCUGAUGUGUACUACUACGCCAGUGGAACAGUGAACGAAUGAUGAACGGUUUAGGGACGAACGGUUCUGUUUGGGGGAACGAACGUUUAACAGUUUGAAGGGAAGGGUUCUCAGCCAGAACGGAACUGUUUAUAUCUGGAACGGAACACAUUGAGAUGGAAAACGAACGUUUUCUUCGGUCCAAAAAUGAGAACGAACGGUUUGGCUUCGAUUUCAAAUUCUACAUUUGGGACAAUUUUGGUACUUUUUAUUCAUAUAUAUACAUUGCGGAAAAGAAAGAUAGUACGUGUCAAAAAAGUUUAAUUUGAUCGAUAUAAUGAAUAUUUUAAAAAAGAAGGAAGGGGGAGGGAAGUAUAUUAAUACAUACAAUUACAUGUGCCUUACAUUACAUAUGGGGAUAUUUAUGUUCCCCAAACAAAGUUUGGGAACAUAUUGUUUUUACUCUGUUUCUUCUUCUCCUUAUUAGGGUCUUCCGAGCUUCCUUCGGAAGGGUGACCCUUCUGUUAUUCUACUGUUUCUUAUUAUUAUUAUGUCUCCGAACACAAAGUGUCGGAGACAUAUUGUUUUUGCUCCGUUUCUUAUUAUUAUUAUUAUUAUUUUCUUCUUAUUCUUAUUAUUCCUCUUCUUUAGUGAGAAAUUUGUCCGACCGAUUUUGUGAAAGUGCUUCGACAGAUCCACUUCAAACUUUGUGAGCUGAUAGGGGGUCACUAGGAGGGGUGCAUUCAACUUUUCAAAAUGGCCGCCCUUUCAAGAUGGCGGCCAAAAAACGUCAAAAACUCAAGGUUGUCGGAUUUCAAUUAAAAAAAUCGAUUUCUAGGGUAAUUUAGUGACCCCUAGUCCAUUUCCACCAUCAAAAUUUUUUUUUGAGCCGCCAUUUUCAAAAUGGCCGCCAUAUACCGAAAUAUUUGAAAGUGUUAAAAUCUCUACAACAUUUGGGUUCUGGGGUAAAUGGAGGGUCCACAAUUCAUUUCUAGCAUCAGUAUAUCCUUCCAAUCAAUUUUCAAAUGUUUCAAAAUGGCCGCCAUUGAAGAAAAUGGCGGCCAAAAAUCAAGUCCGUUGGAUUUCAACCAAAUUCAGUUUUUAGGGUUUUUUGAGAAUCCUGAGUGCGUAUCUGGCAUCAAAAAGCAUUUCUGACAUGGGGAGGUGUUCGGAGACAUUUGUGUUGGCAUCCCAACACAGUUAUAGCUCGUUUUAUUUUUUUCCCCCGCUUUUUUUGUAGAGGCGAUUUCUCGGAAACCUUUUAUCUGAUUAUUAUGAAACUUUCAGUGUAGAUACAUUGUAUUAAGACCUAAAAACGGUUUUUUUCAAAUUUUUGAUAUGUACUUCCGUUUACGAGUUAUUGCCCUUUAAUUGAAUUUUGGGGGGGGGGUCUUUUGUCCACCAGAAAUCUCAGGAACUACAAAUGAUAUCAGCAAGAAAAUUGGAGAAAAUGUAGGUAAGGUAUUGUAGUUGUGCAGGAAGUUAAAAUUAUUGGCUAAACUUUUUAACUUCAGAAGCUAUGUGAUGGCAAAUUUUGAGAAUUUUUUUCCCAUAGAAUUUUGUUGCUUUUUGUGUAAUAUCUUUUAAGCUGGUAGUAAUUUGGUAAGACAUAUAGAACAAAAGUUGUGUGUAAUUACAAGAGCUUUCUAAUGAAAUCAAGAAAAAGGGGCUGGCCCCUAUAUUUAGGGGUCAGCAGCUCAUAAACGUGUUUUUUUAAUACUUAAAAAUGUUGACAUAUAUUGAAAAAGUUUGAAUGAAAUAAUCUUUAGGAUAUCAAAUCUUGUCAUUUGGUAUGAUAAGAAACAAGCUUUGUGCUAUAUUUAUUUCUAUUUCAUAAAAGAAAUGUGUGAGAAUCGUACAGGAACAAGUUGUCUGUACAAGCCCGCCAAGCUGUUUCGGGGCCUCAUGCUUGUGAAGUGCUUAGAUAGUUGAUUUAGAUACAUUGUUUUGAUUCGACUUCUCUUUUUUAAUUUAUUUAAAUAAUUAACAAAAUGCAAUGUUUUUACACGAUGAACUGUUAAACAUCAUGUAUGUAUGUAUGUAUGUUAUCAGUGCAGAGCAAGUCUUUCCUUUACGGGGCCUCCUGGAUGUAAACAUUCACGAGAGGCAUUGUGGGAAGGCCAGAGAAUUGUGAUGUGUACAUUUUAUCACCGUAUGUAGACAUGUAUAUUCAUUGUACAGCUACGAGCACAUGAACUGCCCUCGAUUACGCACUUGGAGCAUUAGUCAAUACUAACGAAGGAUAUAUUGUUGUCUGAAUCGUUUACCAUGUUUCGACUACGAGAAAAUUCUGACGGUCAUAUUUGCAAUGGAUUGAUAAACACAUAAAGAUACAGUGCAGAUAUAUUUAUAAACUGUCCCCAGUGAUAUUGUAACUAGUAAGGAAAAGUUAAUGGUGACACUUUAAUGUGUGAUGGAAUUGGACGUUGCUAAAAAGAUUUGGUGCCGUUGACCACCCCUGGACUUGGAGGUGAAAGUCCUCCCAGGGGCAAAUAAGAACUUGGGUUGCGUCUUCGAGGGCGAAGACAAUUUAAGGAGGGAGGAAUGUAAUGGUUCUGGCCGUGGAUAUCGGCCUGGGUAGCUCAGUCGGUAGAGCACCUGACUAGUGAUGCAGGGGUCCCGGGUUCGAUUCCCGGUCCAGCCAUACAUUUUCUCCUUUCCUGUUACAUAUAUAUAUAGAGACAAUUUCUUUUCCUUUUUUUCUUUUUUGGCAUCUUAUUUUAGGCCUACAGUAUUAAUUUUGGGCUCAUUUACUAGGAAUAUUAUAACUUUAUUGGAAUUGUCCCACUGAAUUAAAGGGAACUCUUUUUUCAGGUGCGCAUGAUGCAACUUCCUGGAUGGUGUGUAGUCUGUUUGUCAACAUGUGAAACCCACGUGUAUUUUGAGGAGUAGCCUCCCCUGUUAAAGAUCAAUAAUGGUGGAUAAACAAUUCAGGAUGCUGUCAUGUCAUCAACAGAGAGUUUUGACACUCGUAUACCCGUAUUUCUACCAAUCACCUCUGUAACCUUUGUUGUGUUCAUCAGACAGAUGAUGGACCACUCUACUUCCUUUUACAACAGGUGCCCCUACAGAUUCACAAAGUUCCAAUGUUGAUUUUCCAUGACCCCCAUUCAUCUGCGACAGGAAAAGGAAUGAAGUUGACAGGAUUUCCCGCAUUGUCCUUGGUAGCAGCUUAUGAUAGAACGGACAGCAGUAGACAUAGCCCGCUUCAUCAAAGGUCUGCUGCAUGUUGGUAGCUGAUGCUGGUUCAAUAUUUGCGCCAAGAAGCAUACCACGCAUACCCUCUGUAGUAAGGCUGGUACCCAUGUGACCGACAGCCAUAGCCACAUUUAGCUGUGCAGCUCUGCAUCCCCUUCUGGAUCUCCCCACCUCUUCAUACAGUUUUUCACGGCGACUUGUAUAGUGGCACUUCUUACAUCGGAUGGAAAGGAUCCAUGCCAGGACUCGUUUUUCCUCCCCAUGCUGGUUCCAGUCCAGUGAACCAUUACAGUCUGGAAACUUUUAGCUGCCUGGUCUUCUAAGAGAAACUCCAUUCUUUGAUGACUGAUGGAAAAGCCUCAUCACUCCCUACUGCUAAAGAACCACUUAUCUUAAUCACCAGCCAUUUAUCAGUGAUCACUGUUAUCAAAGCUCCAUGGUGCGCAUGAUGCAACUUCCUGGAUGUUUGUCAACAUGUGAAACCCACGUGUAUUUUGAGGUACGACAGUAUGUCUCCAGGUUAAGUGAUUGUGUAGAUUGAUUCCCAGCAUAACGAUGAUUUGCCAAAAGAGCAUAUGAAUAGAAAAUUGGUGAUGCUUAAAAAUAUCAGCAGAAUGCAGAAAUUAAGAGACACAGAUGGACAAAAACCCUCUAUCUAAUAUAAUUUACAUAUUAGGCCUAUACAACUAGAACAUGUAACAAGUGAAAUUUAAAUGUAUGCAUAUAUUUACUGUAAAUGUAUUAUAUUCAGCGUGUACGAUAUUUGGCGGAAAUUGAUUUUUGAACAAGUUAGCGUGAAUUUGAUUUAGCGAAUUCCUUUUUGUUUUUUUAUUUAUGUGUAGAGUGUAAGACAUUUAGCGUUGUAUUUGAAUGAGCGGAAGUUGCUUUCUGCCAAAGGCGCUAAAAAGAAUACACAACCAAAUGUAAUACGUUUACAGUAUUAGAGCUGUUUUAAUGUAUACAAUUGUGUAUACAUGGUUGCUUGUUUGUUGACUCAGUGUAUAGAACAUGUACUACUAUAAUGUACAUCUUUCAUGUGUUAUUUCAAUGUGAUGUUGAAUCACAUUUAAAAUACAGCAAAGUUUUUACAGCUGAAUCCUGUUGUUUUUUUUUAUAAUUAUGUACAGUUUUGAUUCCCAACAGAUCAAAAAAUAAACAUAGAGAAUUCUUCA